This is a long non-coding RNA of Oncorhynchus tshawytscha (Chinook salmon), 1683 nucleotides long. NCBI's taxonomy places the organism in Eukaryota, Metazoa, Chordata, Actinopteri, Salmoniformes, Salmonidae. The record is from Ensembl.
UGUGACAUCACCGGGUCCAAACGUCAGGACGGGCUACCUAGGAUGUCCAGAACCCGUGCUGCUGGAGGAUGCUUCCUCGCAGCGGGGUCCAGUCAAGUGAUGCUCGCUGGAGGAUGUAGGAGUGAGCCAAGCAGGCGAGACAGAGGCACAGGAGACUGAAAAUCUCUAUUUCCUCUUCUUCCUGGUUUGAGUAUGACCCCUCACCUGGCUUGUGACCCUUCAACUGGAUAUCACUCCUAAGAGUUGGCUCUGGGGCAGGCUACUCCUGUUGAACCACAGGUUUACUGUCUUGGUGGAAGAGCCACUUGCAGCCAAGUUUCAGCCUUAUGGCAGAGGCAACAAGGUUUUUGGCUAAAAUAUUCUGGUACUGGGUAAAGUUCAUGAUGCCGAUGACCUUAACAAGGGCCCCAUGACGAGUGGAAUCAAAAUAGCCCCAUAACAUCAAAGAUCCACCAGCAUAUUUUAUGGCCUUGUCCAGAGGAGAAUUGAAACAGGAAAAAGCAAUUACGGGAGAGAUUGUCCCACAGGCAUUGAAAGACUAUCAGCAUGAGGGUUUGGAUUGACUCAGGGACACCUAUGGCCCUUGCAUUAUCCUGGCAUGAGGUCGCUUUAGCAAUAGUCUGGCAAUUUCCGCCAGCACCUGGCUCCCCAGCCCCCACAUCCCCCUCUCACCAGGCCCUACCUGUCCCCCUCCCUCCCUCUCCAAGCCUAACACACACCUUUCUCAUUGUACUGCCAUAGUGGCAACUAAGACAAAAACAUGCAAGGACAAUAGUGUCCAGUAGACAUGGUAGACGUUAUUAGCAAUAGCACAGAUGUUUUUCCAUCAUAGCGUGGGUGAAGUAGGCGGCUCCCAGGUGAAAAUGGAUGUUGAAUACUGUGUGCUCGGUUGUAGCGAAGGGAACGUGUGAAGUCUGGAACGAGAUGGGAACAGUGAUAAUUCACUAAGAUACAAAACCUUCAGACAAUGAAAUAAUAUCUGUUAUUUCUUUAUGGGGAAAAUAUAACCCUGGCCUUAUUGUUUGGAAGGCGCAGUGGGAGAAUCAAAUAUGGAGAUGUGGAGAGCAGAGAGUGGGUUGGAGAGGAAUGUUCCAGUGUUAUGUCAGCUGCAGACAUAAGGAGCAGAAUAUCUCACUACCCUAUCCAUUGAACAUAUGCUUGGGCCCUGUCAUCUAGUGCAAGCAUCAACACUUGUGUAAACUUAACCCUCCUUCUACUCCUCACCUACAGUCCUUAUACAGGUGCUCUGGUGGCUGUUGAGGCCAUGCACCCUAAGACCUCUCUCAUCCCAUGUUCUGACCCCCUGGGAUGUGUGGAGCUGAGGCACUGUUUUCUCAUUGAGGUUUUUCCCUUCUUAUUUACUGGUGCAAGGGGUCCGUUGCCCAGGGAAAGACUUUAGCCCCAACUGUGAUCAUAUGAUGUCGCCACUUUGUCUUGCUCUCUCUGGUCCACUGUCACCACCCAUGGCCCUGGAAGAGAAGAGGUGACCGAGCAGUGUGUCUGUUCACCUUUCCCUUCUCAAUCAGCCACUGCUCACAGUGUUGUCUCUGUUGCAUCUCUUUUGGCUAGAUCUCUCUCUCUCUCUCUCUCUCUCUCUCUCUCUCUCUUCUCUCUCUCUCUCUCUCCUCUCUCUCUCUCUCUCUCUCUCUCUCUCUCUCUCUCUCUCUCUCUCUCUCUCUCUCU